AGGACGAACGCUGGCGGCGUGCUUAACACAUGCAAGUCGAACGCUGAAGCUUGGGUGUUUUCAUCUGGGUGGAUGAGUGGCGAACGGGUGAGUAAUACGUGAGUAACCUGCCCUUGACUCUGGGAUAAGCCUGGGAAACUGGGUCUAAUACUGGAUACUACGUGCCCUCGCAUGGGGGUGUGUGGAAAGGGUUUUACUGGUUUUUGGAUGGGCUCACGGCCUAUCAGCUUGUUGGUGGGGUAAUGGCCUACCAAGGCGACGACGGGUAGCCGGCCUGAGAGGGUGACCGGCCACACUGGGACUGAGACACGGCCCAGACUCCUACGGGAGGCAGCAGUGGGGAAUAUUGCACAAUGGGCGAAAGCCUGAUGCAGCCGACGCCGCGUGAGGGAUGACGGCCUUCGGGUUGUAAACCUCUUUCAGCACGGAAGAAGCGAAAGUGACGGUACGUGCAGAAGAAGCGCCGGCUAACUACGUGCCAGCAGCCGC
This 489-nucleotide ribosomal RNA is filed under the name uncultured bacterium. Its description in RNAcentral is "bacterial SSU rRNA". It matches the Rfam family "Bacterial small subunit ribosomal RNA", at positions 26 to 518 of the family's 1533-position model. The record is from RNAcentral.